GAAUCGGCUGCGAGUCCUUUUAAAUAUAUAGAACUGUACUUCUCAUGCUUGAAAAGCGUGACGAUGCUAGUUUGAAGACUGUUCGUGUGGCCAGUCGGCGACCUGUUUGGAAACUGUGACUAUAUGAAGAAGUGUUCGAUUCGCGGUGUGAUUGGCUUCGGCUGGACUACGUUUAUUGGAUGUUUUUUCGGUUAUGGUAGUACGAACGGGUGAACCGUAGCUAUGCAUGUGACUGGUUUUCUUACCUGUGUUGUUGCUGCGAAGUAAAGCGUCAACUUCGGUUGUUGAGGGUCAACCUAUUUGGGAAAUGUGAAGUAAAGCUUCGGCUGCACUUUACCUCAAACGGACCUGAUAUUAGGCAAGAUUACCCGCUGAACUUAAGCAUAUCAAUAAGCGGAGGA
RNAcentral lists this ribosomal RNA (401 nucleotides) under uncultured Oomycota. Its description in RNAcentral is "eukaryotic LSU rRNA". The stretch from base 345 to 401 matches the Rfam family "Eukaryotic large subunit ribosomal RNA", at positions 1 to 57 of the family's 3401-position model. Lineage: Eukaryota; Oomycota. The record is from RNAcentral.